GAUGAACGCUAGCGGCAGGCUUAAUACAUGCAAGUCGUGGGGCAGCGCAGUGUAGCAAUACAUGGGCGGCGACCGGCAAACGGGUGCGGAACACGUACACAACCUUCCUUCAAAUGGGGAAUAGCCCAGGGAAACUUGGAUUAAUACCCCGUAACAUUAUGAGGUGGCAUCACUUUAUAAUUAUAGCUCCGGCGUUUGGAGAUGGGUGUGCGGCUGAUUAGGUAGUUGGCGGGGAACGGCCCACCAAGCCUUCGAUCAGUAACUGGUGUGAGAGCACGACCAGUCACACGGGCACUGAGACACGGGCCCGACUCCGUACGGGAGGCAGCAGUAAGGAAUNUUGGGCAAUGGACGCAAGUCUGACCCAGUCAUGCCGCGUGGAGGAUGA
This 388-nucleotide ribosomal RNA is filed under the name uncultured bacterium. Its description in RNAcentral is "bacterial SSU rRNA". It matches the Rfam family "Bacterial small subunit ribosomal RNA", at positions 28 to 411 of the family's 1533-position model. The record is from RNAcentral.